UACGAAGGGAGCUAGCGUUGUUCGGAAUCACUGGGCGUAAAGCGCACGUAGGCGGAUGUGUCAGUCAGGGGUGAAAUCCCGGAGCUCAACUUCGGAACUGCCUUUGAUACAGCACAUCUGGAGUCCGGAAGAGGUGGGUGGAAUUCCUAGUGUAGAGGUGAAAUUCGUAGAUAUUCGGAGGAACACCAGUGGCGAAGGCGGCUCGCUGGUCCAUUACUGACGCUGAGGUGCGAAAGCGUGGGGAGCAAACAGG
This 253-nucleotide ribosomal RNA is filed under the name uncultured bacterium. RNAcentral describes it as "partial 16S ribosomal RNA". It matches the Rfam family "Bacterial small subunit ribosomal RNA", at positions 524 to 776 of the family's 1533-position model. The record is from RNAcentral.